CCGUAGCCCAAGAGAUCGGGAUAACACCUGGAAACAGAUGCUAAUACCGGAUAACAACAGAUGAUGCCUAUCAACUGUUUAAAAGAUGGUUCUGCUAUCACUCUUGGAUGGGCCUGCGGUGCAUUAGCUAGUUGGUAGGGUAACGGCCUACCAAGGCGAUGAUGCAUAGCCGAGUUGAGAGACUGAUCGGCCACAUUGGGACUGAGACACGGCCCAAACUCCUACGGGAGGCAGCAGAG
RNAcentral lists this ribosomal RNA (239 nucleotides) under uncultured Lactobacillus sp. RNAcentral's name for it is "partial 16S ribosomal RNA". It matches the Rfam family "Bacterial small subunit ribosomal RNA", at positions 125 to 354 of the family's 1533-position model. The record is from RNAcentral. Lineage: Bacteria; Bacillati; Bacillota; Bacilli; Lactobacillales; Lactobacillaceae.